Molecule: long non-coding RNA, 3157 nt
Filed under: Echeneis naucrates (live sharksucker)
Lineage: Eukaryota; Metazoa; Chordata; Actinopteri; Carangiformes; Echeneidae
Description: lncRNA (ENSENLG00000003596.1)
Source: RNAcentral
CAGACACCCAUCUACUGACUCCACCCCGAGUGACAGUGGCUCCUCCCCCAGUGAUUGCGGUUCUAGCCCGUCUCCCAGUACCCCUCAGAAGCUACUUCCAGCAUACACCUCUCCAUUUGGACCGCGAGUAUUUCAUGCAAAGCCAAAUUCCACCGGUUCUCCAAGGCCCCAACCUGAAGGUUCUGACCAUCGCAAUACUCCAAAAUUGUCUGGAAAGUUAGGUGGUCAUGGACCAUGCGGGCGCCUUGUCCCCGUUAAAAUGGAGAGAAUCAAGGUCCUAACUGGUUCUGAGGUGGAGAGUGACUACCAGGAACCACAAACCAUUGACACCAGGGUGGUGAUGGGUCAAGAGACACUGCUCAAAACAAGAGAGAUCCAAAAAGGGUCACCCAUAGUUGAGCUAAGUGGUCAGGCUAUCCCUUUGCCAGGUAUCCCAAGCUUUUCAGAUCCUCCGGCACAAGCAGAAGAAACUCAGCUGGAACCCAGCAAAGAGGAAAGUCAGGACCAAAGCCCUCAAAAACAGCUGGAUCAACAACAAGACCCAGUGCAGCCAGCAACCACACCACCCUCCCCUUUUCACAACGCGCUCACCGCUUCAUCAUCCCCCCAAGAACCUGUCACAACCGAUGACAGAUUGAUAGACAACCAGGAAGAGGUUCAAGCCCUCUCUGAAAACGAAGUGCCUUCCCUCUCUUUUUCUGAGCUCCCAUGUCCAGUUGCUUUGUCGUUCUCGGAGCCAGCUUACACUGUUGACCCUCUACGGGUGGGUGUGCCCACCUCUCUUGACCCUGACCUGUAUUAUACUGCCCCUUCUACCCCAAUCAAAAUGGCUUCCCGCUCUUCACAUCUAAAACAUCAUUCAUAUCCUGGCUCUCCAGCCUGCCCACUCUCCCCUGGUUCUCCAUCAGACAGUGAAGAGCUCUGUUCCCCUCUCACCUCCCCCUCUGGCUCGUACAUCACAGCAGAAGGAGGCAGUUGGACUUCCUCGUACACAUCCUCCACCUCCCCCUGCACAUCUCCCAAUCUGCUCCUUACAGAGGAAGCACAGGAGGCACCUGCUUGCUUUGUGAGCUCCUUAUCAGAAAUUGGAGAUGAGGCUGGAGAGGAAAAGGGACAGGUUGGACCAGAGCGAGAGGAGGAAAGGCCAGCGGACCUCCGCCUGUACCACCCUGAGGAUCUUGUGAGGAACUCACGGAUAGGUGUAACGGGGACAGUAAUCCCCGAGGAGGAAGAGACCGUAAAAGGAGAGGAGGUCAAGAUUUCCAGAGAAAGUUGUCGUCCAUGCUGGGUGACUGAGGAUACAUUUCCUCUAAGGAGCAGUUACAGCCGAAGCAGUGACUCUCAGGAGGAUGGAGGAGAGUCUGAAAGUUCGCUCUGCCCACUAGAAGAAGCUGCUUCAGGAAGGAUAGAAUACUCUGGACCGAUGCAAACAGGCCUGAAGUUACAGCUGGAAUCAUGUAUAUCAGAGGAGCACUAUGGACAGAUUGAGGACCACCCACAGCUUGCUUCCACUGCGUUAACUCCUGACACAGAGAACAUGACCAUGGCUUCAUCUAGCCUCAGCCCUGACUCACCUCUUACCCCACUGGAUGUUUUCUGUCCUGGAGUCUUUGAUAGGCUUGGCUCUAGUUCAUUCAUGCUCUCACAGGCAACCUGUGUGGAUGAUAUACCAGAUGAGGAGAGGAUGAUCCCCGCCUCCCUCAUCUCCCUCCCCCUCCACACCAGUGUUAUCUUCAAGGCUGAUUCGAUGGAAAUCACCCUCUUCCCCACAGAGGAAGAGAAUGAAAUUGAAGUUCAUGACAGAAAUGAAGGAAAGGAUGUUGACGCAUAUGCAGCAGGAGAGGAGGAGGCAGAUGUUGAGGAUGAUGAUGACGACGAUGACGAGGAGGACGACGACGAUGAUGAUGAUGAUGAGGAGGAGAAUGAUUACGAUUAUGAGAAUGAUGUUGGUGGCAAUGCUAACUGUGCUGCUGAUGGUGAUGACAAUGAUAUAAAUAAUGGUGAGAAGGAUGAAGCAGAUGAAGAAGCCAAAGUGGAGGUGAAAGUGGUGGAAGAGGAGGAGGAAGAGCAGGAAGAUGAUGAUGAUGAUGAUGACGAUGAUGAUGAGUGUGAUAGCAAAGCAGCGGACGAUCAAACAGACGAGGACAGCUCAGCUUCUUUCCUUCAUUCACUCUCAGACACAUCUAUGAAUGAGGGGUUGGAUGAAUCUUUCUGUUUUCAAGAUGAUACAGAUGACUCAUUAGAUUCUGCCUCCUAUAAUGGAGAGGAGGAUGAACGUCUAUACAGCACUGAGAGGCAUGCACAAUCACUAGAACCUACACCGGUAGAUGCACCUGACCUGACUGACGUCCAAACAGAACCUGAACAGGAGCCGACCGCAGCCGGAGCAGAUCAAGCUGAACCUUUAUGCGAACAACUGAGCACAGAUAAAGCAGAGGCUCAUUCCCAACCAGCGUGUCUUGCUGAGCCCUCAGAUUCCCACCCCAUAGAUAACAAUAUAAAAUUCAAACCUAAACCCAGUGAGCCUCAGUCAGAGCCUGAAACAGAAUCGACCAGUGGAAUGGGUCAGACAAAAUCUUCCCAAAUGAGCACAGAUGAAACCGUAGAUCUCCAGCAAACCCCCUGUCCCUCAGAGGAAAUGUCUUGUCAGCUAGAGUCCUCCAGCAGCUUGAACGAGAGUGAGAUGAUAAAUAUCUCUGCUUCUUUCAAGACUCUUGAGGAACCUAAAGACGUUCCUCUUGUCAACUCAUCCAGUACUCCCGUUGUCAUUCAUGCUCCUCCAGACGUUGCUGAUGAUCUCCCUGCAGCUUCUCUUUCUGCCCCUUCCACACACGAGACAACAGACAUAAACAGUUCGCAUCCACUGGAAGAACAGGUUGAGGAAAUUCCAGAGGUGACAUCCAGUGAUUUGAAACAGAGCAAUGACUCCUCUGAGGAAGGAUCCACCAAAGAACCGGAAAGAGACUCCUUUAAAUUGCUCAUUAAGCCUCGUAAUCAUCAGCCAGAGAGCCAGAGAACUGUUGGAGCAACUAGACUUGUAUUAUCAAAAUCUUUCUCCAAUAGAGCUGAUGUCCCUAGAGGGGCCGAGGCCAUGUGUAGGCCCAGCAUUCACAGGGAAACUGACAUUGAGCUUGACCAGAAGAAUGGAAACACCACA